This 593-nucleotide long non-coding RNA is filed under the name Ananas comosus (pineapple). Its description in RNAcentral is "long non-coding RNA (ACOM_LNC002602)". The record is from RNAcentral. Lineage: Eukaryota; Viridiplantae; Streptophyta; Magnoliopsida; Poales; Bromeliaceae.
GUUAUAUUUCUUCCCUAUUUAGUUGUUGUUAAUAAUAAAUGGUUCAGUUAGAUGUUUGAAUGUUUGUGAUUUUUGUUAUGUAUGAUUAGAGAUUUUGUGGAUCACUGGUUUUGGUUUUAUAAAUAUUCAGUUCUCGGAUUUGUGUAUAUAUACAUAUUUACGCAUCGUGGUUUUCUACCCCUCGAGGUAGUUGAUUUUCAAAAUAGAGUUUCCGAGUGGGAAACAGUUUUAAAAAGGUUUUCGAAUGGUUUUCAGGAAUGAAUGAAUUAGAGUUUAAAAACAAAGUUUCCGUGUGGGGAGCACUUUUAAAUAGGCUAUUUGUUGUAUUGUGCAUUUGCCACGCCCCGGAUGUCUCGUUCCCCGGGCACGCCGACAAAUCCGCCGUAUACAAAGAAAUUUUUCCUAUAUACGAAGCGACAGCUGUACCUGUAAAUCAAACACUACUACGAACAGUAGUAGAGAGCUGCUAGAGAAAACAGAAACUAAACAAACUGAGUUUCAUAUACAUAGUCCAAAUCCAAAAUACAGAGCUACUCGCACUGGCGAGUUAAGUCUACUAUGUACAGAAACUCGAAACAAAACAUCUACCUGCA